CACAUUCGCUAGGGGUGUUGCGGUCUGGCUAUUCAGACCGCGACUGAGACAGUCCCUUUGAACCUGAUUGAGGUAAUGCUCACGCAGGGAAGCAGGCCCGACAGGCA
Molecule: non-coding RNA, 107 nt
Filed under: Curvibacter sp.
Lineage: Bacteria; Pseudomonadati; Pseudomonadota; Betaproteobacteria; Burkholderiales; Comamonadaceae
Description: TPP sequence
Rfam family: TPP riboswitch aptamer (THI element)
About the family: Vitamin B(1) in its active form thiamin pyrophosphate (TPP) is an essential coenzyme that is synthesised by coupling of pyrimidine and thiazole moieties in bacteria. The previously detected thiamin-regulatory element, thi box was extended, resulting in a new, highly conserved RNA secondary structure, the THI element, which is widely distributed in eubacteria and also occurs in some archaea.
Source: RNAcentral